RNAcentral lists this microRNA precursor (66 nucleotides) under Oryctes borbonicus. RNAcentral's name for it is "mir-2 microRNA precursor family". It matches the Rfam family "mir-2 microRNA precursor family". From Rfam's summary of the family: The miRNAs are transcribed as ~70nt precursors (modelled here) and subsequently processed by the Dicer enzyme to give a ~22nt product. In this case the mature sequence comes from the 3' arm of the precursor. The extents of the hairpin precursors are not generally known and are estimated based on hairpin prediction. Lineage: Eukaryota; Metazoa; Arthropoda; Insecta; Coleoptera; Scarabaeidae. The record is from Rfam by way of RNAcentral.
UCACCCGUCAAUUUGGUUGUGAAAUCUUUUCGAAACGGGAUAUCACAGCCAUUUUGACGAGUUGAG